GACGAACGCUGGCGGCGUGCUUAACACAUGCAAGUCGAACGGUAAGGCUCCAGCUUGCUGGGGUACACGAGUGGCGAACGGGUGAGUAACACGUGGGUGACCUGCCCUGCACUUCGGGAUAAGCCUGGGAAACUGGGUCUAAUACCGGAUAGGACCGCACCGUGAGGGUGUGGUGGAAAGUUUUUUCGGUGUGGGAUGGGCCCGCGGCCUAUCAGCUUGUUGGUGGGGUAAUGGCCUACCAAGGCGGCGACGGGUAGCCGGCCUGAGAGGGUGGACGGCCACAUUGGGACUGAGCCACGGCCCAGCCUCCUACGGGAGGCAGCAGUGGGGAAUAUUGCACAAUGGGCGGAAGCCUGAUGCAGCGACGCCGCGUGGGGGAUGACGGCCUUCGGGUUGUAAACUCCUUUCACCAUCGACGAAGGGUUUCUGACGGUAGAUGGAGAAGAAGCACCGGCUAACUACGUG
RNAcentral lists this ribosomal RNA (465 nucleotides) under uncultured bacterium. Its description in RNAcentral is "partial 16S ribosomal RNA". It matches the Rfam family "Bacterial small subunit ribosomal RNA", at positions 28 to 507 of the family's 1533-position model. The record is from RNAcentral.